Molecule: ribosomal RNA, 253 nt
Filed under: uncultured bacterium
Lineage: Bacteria
Description: partial 16S ribosomal RNA
Rfam family: Bacterial small subunit ribosomal RNA
Source: RNAcentral
GACGAACCGAGCGAACGUUGUUCGGAAUCAUUGGGCUUAAAGGGUGCGUAGGCGGUGCGGAAAGUUGGGUGUGAAAUCCCUCGGCUCAACCGAGGAAUUGCGCCCAAUACUACCGUGCUCGAGGGAGACAGAGGUAAGCGGAACUUAGGGUGGAGCGGUGAAAUGCGUUGAUAUCCUAAGGAACACCAGUGGCGAAAGCGGCUUACUGGGUCUCUUCUGACGCUGAGGCACGAAAGCUGGGGGAGCAAACGGG